Molecule: long non-coding RNA, 400 nt
Filed under: Dromaius novaehollandiae (emu)
Lineage: Eukaryota; Metazoa; Chordata; Aves; Casuariiformes; Dromaiidae
Description: lncRNA (ENSDNVG00000012497.1)
Source: RNAcentral
AUUAUCCUUCCCCCGAAAGCCUCAAGACCUCCUCCAAGCGUGAGCCUUUGGAAAGCCUGACCUCAUUAUUAUGAUGAUGAUKAUUAUUAUUUCUGCAGUCGCUCUCUUUUUUAGGGACGGGCCUGUUUCCCCUCAAGCCACGACCUUGUGUGUCCAGGAGCGGUUCCCACRUCUGUCUGUCUGUCCGCUGCUGGCCUGCGCUGUGUUAUACCUCUGUCCCCCUCCCUUCCCCCAGUCUCCACUCAAACAAAGGGAGCGAGGAAAAGCGCAGCCCAGGAAGUGCAAAGUGGAAAGCGACCCUCUUCCUAUUUGACGACAGCGCUAAUUCCUCGGGGAUCCCACCUGAGAUUAAAGCUUGAAUUUCAAUAAAUCAUCUCUAAUGAAAACCCUCCCCUCUUCA